CCAGUAGGGACCCUAUAUAAGAGCGGAGGUGUCGCAGUCAAGACGGUUCACGGCAGGGGUUGAGAGCCCGGUUCACUACAGUCCGGUCGACUACAGCACAGUUCAGCGGUGUGGUUCUGUACGGAGCAUUACGACGGUUCAGUGCGGAGUACUAUCAAGUACAGUUGAGACGAACGGCGUCUUGAUCUUGGUCUGCGAUCGAGUCCGACACAACGAGCCUAGUGUGUGAAGUCAGUCCUGAACUGUUGAACCCAGUGCAAGCCCGGAACGAGACGGAGAGGCCAGUGCAAGAGUUGAUACGGCGGAACGGUGUUAUCGGAGAGAUAUUUGUACAGUGUACGUGUUGCCAAUUGUACAGUAUUGGCUUUUAUUUAUUCAACUAUUAAAGUGUUACGUUACUUUGGA
Biomphalaria glabrata is the source of this 405-nucleotide long non-coding RNA. RefSeq lists it as uncharacterized. The transcript has 2 exons. Lineage: Eukaryota; Metazoa; Mollusca; Gastropoda; Planorbidae. The record is from RefSeq and is a predicted model, not a curated record.